GACGAACGCUGGCGGCGUGCUUAACACAUGCAAGUCGAGCGGUAAGGCCCUUCGGGGUACACGAGCGGCGAACGGGUGAGUAACACGUGGGUGACCUGCCCUCAGCUUCGGGAUAAGCCUGGGAAACCGGGUCUAAUACCGGAUAUGACCAUGGGAUGCAUGUUCUGUGGUGGAAAGUUUUUCGGCUGGGGAUGGCCCGCGGCCUAUCAGCUUGUUGGUGGGGUGAUGGCCUACCAAGGCGGUGACGGGUAGCCGGCCUGAGAGGGCGACCGGCCACACUGGGACUGAGACACGGCCCAGACUCCUACGGGAGGCAGCAGUGGGGAAUAUUGCGCAAUGGGCGGAAGCCUGACGCAGCGACGCCGCGUGGGGGAUGACGGCCUUCGGGUUGUAAACCUCUUUCGCCAGGGACGAAGCUUUGGUGACGGUACCUGGAGAAGAAGCACCGGCCAACUACGUGCCAGCCGCCGCCGUAA
Molecule: ribosomal RNA, 476 nt
Filed under: uncultured bacterium
Lineage: Bacteria
Description: partial 16S ribosomal RNA
Rfam family: Bacterial small subunit ribosomal RNA
Source: RNAcentral